RNAcentral lists this unclassified non-coding RNA (291 nucleotides) under uncultured Helotiales. RNAcentral's name for it is "sequence contains ITS1". The stretch from base 1 to 105 matches the Rfam family "5.8S ribosomal RNA", at positions 50 to 154 of the family's 154-position model. The record is from RNAcentral. Lineage: Eukaryota; Fungi; Ascomycota; Leotiomycetes; Helotiales.
GAAAUGCGAUAAGUAAUGUGAAUUGCAGAAUUCAGUGAAUCAUCGAAUCUUUGAACGCACAUUGCGCCCCUUGGUAUUCCGAGGGGCAUGCCUGUUCGAGCGUCAUUAUAACCACUCAAGCCUCGGCUUGGUCUUGGGGUUCGCGGUCUCGCGGCCCUUAAAAUUAGUGGCGGUGCCGUCUGGCUCUAAGCGUAGUAAUUCUCUCGCUAUAGGGUUCGGGUGACCACCUGCCAGAACCCCCCAUUCUUUACGGUUGACCUCGGAUCAGGUAGGGAUACCCGCUGAACUUAA